UGGGGAAUAUUGGACAAUGGGCGCAAGCCUGAUCCAGCAAUGCCGCGUGUGUGAAGAAGGCCUUCGGGUUGUAAAGCACUUUUAUCAGGAACGAAAAGCGUGGGGUUAAUACCUUUACGUGCUGACGGUACCUGAGGAAUAAGCACCGGCUAACUUCGUGCCAGCAGCCGCGGUAAUACGAAGGGUGCAAGCGUUAAUCGGAAUUACUGGGCGUAAAGCGUGCGUAGAUGGUUUGUUAAGUCGGAUGUGAAAGCCCCGGGCUCAACCUGGGAACUGCAUCCGAUACUGGCAGACUAGAGUGUGGUAGAGGAUGGCGGAAUUCCCGGUGUAGCGGUGAAAUGCGUAGAUAUCUGAAGGAACACCAGUGGCGAAGGCGGCUUCCUGGACCAAUACUGACACUGAGACGCGAAAGCGUGGGGAUCAAACAGGAUUAGAUACCCCAGUAGUCCCUGAGCGGGCUGGCAAGGCGCAU
This 472-nucleotide ribosomal RNA is filed under the name uncultured bacterium. Its description in RNAcentral is "bacterial SSU rRNA". It matches the Rfam family "Bacterial small subunit ribosomal RNA", at positions 355 to 825 of the family's 1533-position model. The record is from RNAcentral.